Molecule: long non-coding RNA, 1138 nt
Filed under: Homo sapiens (human)
Lineage: Eukaryota; Metazoa; Chordata; Mammalia; Primates; Hominidae
Description: HSALNT0322653
Source: RNAcentral
CUGCGACGCUGCUCGGGGACCCCUUGAGGAAAGCCCAGCGACGCCGGGCCAGCGCAUUCUUAUUUUAUGAAGAUCUGGCAAGAGUUAGCGUGCAGUUCUACAUUGUGACAAUUCAUGAGAGCUAAGGACUGGCUGUCUCUUGGGACAAAUAGGCUUUCUUGAGUCUGCAUGAGGCCCUCACCAGAUACAGCCACCUGAUCUUGGACUUCACAGCCUCCAGAAAUCUUUGCUUCCACUUCUAAGUGAGAACAUACAGUGUUUGGUUUUUCAUUCCUGAGUUACUUCACCUAGAACAAUGGCCUCCAGCUCCAUCCAAGUUGCUGCAGAAGACAUUUCAUUCCUUUUAUGGCUGAGUAGUAUUCCAUGUCCAGUGAUUCAAGUUUGACACACCACACCACGGUGGAUGUGCCUUGUCAUGACACAUCUUCUCAGCAGCACUAGAAGAUACAUCCAAAGUCCUGUGAGCAAGGACACAGCGAGAAGAUGGCUGUCUACAAGCCAGGAAGAGAGUCCUCACCAGAACCAAACCCUGCUGGACUUUGAUCUUGGACUUCCCAGCCUCUAAAACUGUGAAGACAUAAAUUUCUGUUGUUAAACCCACACAGGUCUGUGGUAUCUGUUUAUUAUGGCAGCCCAGUAAGACUAAGACAGGCCAUCACAAGACAUGAAUGUUUUGGACCUUCUCUUGGGCCCUAGUAAACAGAAAUCAGGUACGCAAAAGGGGUAAGCAUAUAAUUUCCUUUAUUUUUAUUUUUAAUGUGUAAGCCUUAGGUUUUUAUUUAUUUAUUUGGUGAAGACAAUCACAUUGUGUACGUACAAUGUAAUUAUAUUGUUGACGAGAAGUUACUUAAAAUUUUUUAAAAAUUCUAAUCGAUUUCUAGAUGUCCAAAUGAGAAGAUAGCAUUUAUAUACCAUCAGAACAUAAAAUAAUUCAAAAAAAUAAAUUUAUAAAACAAUAUGUAUUAUAUUGAGAGAAAGAGAGGGAGAGAGUAUUGGAAGAAUAUAUGCAAAUACAAUGUGAUAAUGUGAUGUCUUUGUGAGAAUGCUAUAUGUCAUUUUCUUUGUUUAUAUGAAUUUUUACAAUUUUUACCUUUGAAAUAUAAAAAAGAGAGAAUAAAAGUCAUUGAAAAAAUCAAAA